GUUGUAUGGUCAAGUAAUGAAGUGCACAUGGUGGAUGCCUUGGCAGUCAGAGGCGAUGAAAGACGUGAUAGCCUGCGAUAAGCGUCGGUGAGGUGGCAAUAUCCUGUGACCCGGCGAUUUCUGAAUGGGGAAACCCAACCAACACAAGUUGGUUAUUACACAGUUUACUGUGUAAGGCAAACCGGGAGAAGUGAAACAUCUCAGUACCCCGAGGAAAAGACAUCAAAUGAGAUUCCGUAAGUAGCGGCGAGCGAACACGGAGGAGCCGAUCAAUUUUACAGUAGCAAAAUGGCGUGGGAAAGCCAACCAUAGUAGGUGAUAGUCCUGUAUGCGAAACUGUUUAAGCGACAUAUUAAGUAGGGCGGAACACGAGAAAUUCUGUCUGAAGAUGGGGGGACCAUCCUCCAAGGCUAAAUACUCCUGACUGACCGAUAGUGAACCAGUACCGUGAGGGAAAGGCGAAAAGAACCCCUGUUAGGGGAGUGAAAUAGAACCUGAAACCGUGUGCAUACAAGCAGUCGGAGCGGACUUGUUCCGUGACGGCGUACCUUUUGUAUAAUGGGUCAGCGACUUAUAUUCUGUAGCAAGGUUAACCGAAUAGGGGAGCCGUAGGGAAACCGAGUCUUAAUAGGGCGAAUGAGUUGCAGGGUAUAGACCCGAAACCGAGUGAUCUAUCCAUGAGCAGGUUGAAAGUGCCGUAACAGGCACCGGAGGACCGAACCCACUGUCGUUGAAAAGCCAGGGGAUGACUUGUGGAUAGGGGUGAAAGGCUAAUCAAACUCGGUGAUAGCUGGUUCUCCCCGAAAGCUAUUUAGGUAGCGCCUCGGACGAACACCAUUGGGGGUAGAGCACUGUUUCGGCUAGGGGGUCAUCCCGACUUACCAAACCGAUGCAAACUCCGAAUACCGAUGAGUGAUAUCCGGGAGACAGACGGCGGGUGCUAACGUCCGUCGUCAAGAGGGAAACAACCCAGACCGCCAGCUAAGGCCCCAAAUUCCUAGUUAAGUGGGAAACGAUGUGGGAAGGCACAGACAGCUAGGAGGUUGGCUUAGAAGCAGCCACCCUUUAAAGAAAGCGUAAUAGCUCACUAGUCGAGUCGGCCUGCGCGGAAGAUGUAACGGGGCUCAAACUAGGAGCCGAAGCUGCGGAUUUAAUUGUUUCAAUUAAGUGGUAGGGGAGCGUUGUGUAAGCCUGUGAAGGUGCACUGUAAGGUGUGCUGGAGGUAUCACAAGAGCGAAUGCUGACGUGAGUAACGACAAAACGGGUGAAAAGCCCGUUCGCCGGAAGACCAAGGGUUCCAGUCCAACGUUAAUCGGGGCUGGGUGAGUCGACCCCUAAGGCGAGGCCGAAAGGCGUAGUCGAUGGGAAAUCGGUUAAUAUUCCGAUACUUGUUUAUGAUGCGAUGGAGGGACGGAGAAGGUUAUGCCAGCCUGGCGAUGGUUGUCCAGGUGGAAGGAUGUAGUUAGACUGAGUAGGCAAAUCCGCUCGGUUAUUAAUGAGAUCUGAUAGCAAGCCAGUUUACUGGCGAAGUGGCAAAUACCCUGCUUCCAGGAAAAGCUUCUAAGCGAUAGUCAUAAACGAAUCGUACCCGAAACCGACACAGGUGGUCAGGUAGAGAAUACCAAGGCGCUUGAGAGAACUCUGCUGAAGGAACUAGGCAAAAUGGUACCGUAACUUCGGGAGAAGGUACGCUGCCGAUGGUGAUGAAACUUGCUUUCUGAGCUGUUGGCAGUCGCAGAUACCAGGCUGCUGCAACUGUUUAUUAAAAACACAGCACUCUGCAAACACGAAAGUGGACGUAUAGGGUGUGAUGCCUGCCCGGUGCUGGAAGGUUAAUUGAUGGGGUUAGCGUAAGCGAAGCUCUUGAUCGAAGCCCCAGUAAACGGCGGCCGUAACUAUAACGGUCCUAAGGUAGCGAAAUUCCUUGUCGGGUAAGUUCCGACCUGCACGAAUGGCAUAAUGAUGGCAGCGCUGUCUCCAGCAGAGACUCAGUGAAAUCGAAAUCGCAGUGAAGAUGCUGUGUACCCGCGGCUAGACGGAAAGACCCCGUGAACCUUUACUACAGCUUUACAUUGAACUUUGACCUAACUUGUGUAGGAUAGGUGGGAGGCUUUGAAGCAGAUACGCCAGUAUUUGUGGAGCCAACCUUGAAAUACCACCCUGGUUAUGUUGGGGUUCUAACUUAGGAUUAACAAAUCCAAGGACAAUGUAUGGUGGGUAGUUUGACUGGGGCGGUCUCCUCCUAAAGAGUAACGGAGGAGUACGAAGGUGCGCUCAGAACGGUCGGAAAUCGUUCAAAGAGUAUAAAGGCAAAAGCGCGCUUAACUGCGAGACCCACAAGUCGAGCAGGUACGAAAGUAGGUCUUAGUGAUCCGGUGGUUCUGUAUGGAAGGGCCAUCGCUCAACGGAUAAAAGGUACUCUGGGGAUAACAGGCUGAUACCGCCCAAGAGUUCAUAUCGACGGCGGUGUUUGGCACCUCGAUGUCGGCUCAUCUCAUCCUGGGGCUGAAGCAGGUCCCAAGGGUAUGGCUGUUCGCCAUUUAAAGAGGUACGCGAGCUGGGUUUAGAACGUCGUGAGACAGUUCGGUCCCUAUCUACCGUGGGCGUUGGAAAUUUGAGAGGAUCUGCUCCUAGUACGAGAGGACCAGAGUGGACGAACCUCUGGUGUUUCGGUUGUCACGCCAGUGGCAUUGCCGAGUAGCUACGUUCGGAUGGGAUAACCGCUGAAAGCAUCUAAGCGGGAAGCCCACCUCAAGAUAAGAUUUCCCUAAGAGCCGUUGUAGACUACGACGUUGAUAGGUUGGGUGUGGAAGUGUAGUGAUACAUGUAGCUAACCAAUACUAAUUGCUCGUUUGGCUUGACCAUACAACACCCAAG
Molecule: ribosomal RNA, 2877 nt
Filed under: Moraxella nonliquefaciens
Lineage: Bacteria; Pseudomonadati; Pseudomonadota; Gammaproteobacteria; Moraxellales; Moraxellaceae
Description: bacterial LSU rRNA
Rfam family: Bacterial large subunit ribosomal RNA
Source: RNAcentral